UGGAGGAACUGGACUGGGGGCGGCCACUCAGGCUUCAAGUGCAGGAAGGAAGUGAGAUUGCCACCUUGUAAAGGCAGGCACCGGCUUUGGGUCCGUGCGUGCCCAGGGCCGCCUGCUCCAGGAAGAGUCACAGAAGGACCCUGCGGGACCGACUCUGUCCUCUGGAAUGCUCCGUCACACCUGAGUACCGUCUGCCACCGCGCCAGGGUCUGCCCCGCACACAGGCCGCGCGUGCGUUCGUGGCCUGGGAUUCUGGCUGCAGUACCGUGUUUCCCCAUGAACAACUGCUCCUCCUGCUGUACCUGAGGGUGGGCACACGACCCGUCCUGGACCAUCAGAGCACGGUGCGCUCUGGCCACAGUGACAGGCCCACUGGACCCCAGCCGGGUCUGCUGCUGAGGCUGGGUGCUGAGUGACAGGAGUGGGCACGAGCUGCUGGAGUCCCUCCUGCCACCGGGUGGGUGGACGGCCUGCCCAGGAUGGGCUGGCAGAGGAGGAAGAGCCAGCUGUGGAGGUGAGGGGGGAGACCGAGUCCUGAGGGCUCUCGCUGUACACGUUUAGUUUUUAAUGAGCCGUCCUGUCCCUGAUGGAACACCACCUUUAUUUUUUU
This is a long non-coding RNA of Myotis lucifugus (little brown bat), 610 nucleotides long. RefSeq lists it as uncharacterized. Lineage: Eukaryota; Metazoa; Chordata; Mammalia; Chiroptera; Vespertilionidae. The transcript has 3 exons. The record is from RefSeq and is a predicted model, not a curated record.